UACGUAGGGGGCUAGCGUUGUCCGGAUUUAUUGGGCGUAAAGAGCGUGUAGGCGGCCAGAUAGGUCUGCUGUGAAAACUCGAGGCUCAACCUCGAGCUGUCGGCGGAAACCAUUUGGCUAGAGUCCGGAAGAGGAAAGUGGAAUUCCUGGUGUAGCGGUGAAAUGCGCAGAUAUCAGGAGGAACACCGGUGGCGAAGGCGGGUCUCUGGGCCGAUACUGACGCUGAGGAGCGAAAGCGUGGGGAGCGAACAGG
RNAcentral lists this ribosomal RNA (253 nucleotides) under uncultured bacterium. Its description in RNAcentral is "partial 16S ribosomal RNA". It matches the Rfam family "Bacterial small subunit ribosomal RNA", at positions 524 to 776 of the family's 1533-position model. The record is from RNAcentral.